This 75-nucleotide transfer RNA is filed under the name Elusimicrobia bacterium CG1_02_37_114. Its description in RNAcentral is "tRNA-Val". It matches the Rfam family "tRNA". Rfam says of the family: Transfer RNA (tRNA) molecules are approximately 80 nucleotides in length. Their secondary structure includes four short double-helical elements and three loops (D, anti-codon, and T loops). Lineage: Bacteria; Pseudomonadati; Elusimicrobiota. The record is from RNAcentral. RNAcentral also lists the same sequence under 2 other names.
GGGCGGUUGGCACAGUUGGCUCAGCGCGCUGCCCUUACAAGGCAGAGGUCGCAGGUUCGAAUCCUGCACCGCCCA